AGUCGAACGAGAAAGUGGAGCAAUCCAUGAGUAAAGUGGCGUACGGGUGAGUAACACGUGGAUAAUCUGCCCUGAAGUGGGGAAUAACAAUGGGAAACCGUUGCUAAUACCGCAUAUACCCGAGAGGGGAAAGCAGCAAUGCGCUUUAGGAGGAGUCCGCGGCCGAUUAGCUAGUUGGUAGGGUAAUGGCCUACCAAGGCAACGAUCGGUAGCCGGCCUGAGAGGGCACACGGCCACACUGGCACUGAAACACGGGCCAGACUCCUACGGGAGGCAGCAGUGGGGAAUCUUGCACAAUGGGGGCAACCCUGAUGCAACGACGCCGCGUGAGCGAUGAAGCCCUUCGGGGUGUAAAGCUCUUUCGGCAGGGAAGAUCAUGACGGUACCUGCAGAAGCAGCUGCGGCUAACUACGUGCCAGCAGCCGCGGUAAUACGUAGGCAGCAAGCGUUGUUCGGAGUUACUGGGCGUAAAGGGUGUGUAGGCGGCUUUCUAAGUUUGUUGUGAAAUCUCCCGGCUUAACCGGGAGGGUGCGGCGAAGACUGGAAGGCUAGAGUAUGGGAUGGGAGAGUGGAAUUCCUGGUGUAGCGGUGAAAUGCGUAGAUAUCAGGAGGAACACCUGCGGUGUAGACGGCUCUCUGGACCAUUACUGACGCUGA
This 657-nucleotide ribosomal RNA is filed under the name uncultured bacterium. Its description in RNAcentral is "bacterial SSU rRNA". It matches the Rfam family "Bacterial small subunit ribosomal RNA", at positions 60 to 749 of the family's 1533-position model. The record is from RNAcentral.